CACCAUCAUGGCUGGCAUCCCUGGGUUGAAUAAAGUUGCACUUAGCUUGCCCAGGCUGUGGGCAAAGGCCAGUGGGGGGUUUAGGGAUCUUUGCCCCGUGGCCCACUCGGCCAGCACCUGCUCUGCCUCCCUAGGGAGAUGGCGCAGGAGGUCAAGGCAGAGCGGAGGAGCUGCUGCGGCAGAUUGGAUCCAUCUAGCCUGGUGUCCCAUCUCUGACAGAGCCUGAGGCCAGCUGCUCCAGGGUCUCUCUGGGAGGGACGGCAGGAGACGGGAUGGAUGAUCGGAAACCGCCCAACCAGGCCAAAGACUGUGAGGUGCCAGCCGACGGGGGCACGAGUUCAGAAGAGCGGGGCGGCGCGGAAGGAGACCCCCUGAAGCCCCCGGAAGGGGUCCCUGCUGCCCAGGAACCGGAAGCCAAGGAGCUGCCCCAGGC
This is a non-coding RNA of Pelodiscus sinensis (Chinese soft-shelled turtle), 433 nucleotides long. The record is from RefSeq and is a predicted model, not a curated record. Lineage: Eukaryota; Metazoa; Chordata; Testudines; Trionychidae.